GAAAUGCGAUACGUAAUGUGAAUUGCAGAAUUCAGUGAAUCAUCGAAUCUUUGAACGCACCUUGCACCCCUUGGCAUUCCGAGGGGUACACCCGUUUGAGUGUCGUGAAAUUCUCAAACCUUCUUGGUUUCUUGAUCAAGAAGGCUUUGGACUUUGGAGGUCUUUUGCUGGCUUUGCGAAAAGUCAGCUCCUCUUAAAUGCAUUAGUGAGGUCCUCUUUGCGGAUCCCCAGGCGUUGAUAAGAUGCUUCUACGUCUUGGGAUUUGCUCUGUUCAUUGGGAACCCGCUUCUAACCGUCUCACUAUGGGAGACAUAGUUCGAGCUUGCUCGACCCACGAACCUUGACCUCAAAUCGGGUGAGACUACCCGCUGAACUUAA
This 378-nucleotide unclassified non-coding RNA is filed under the name uncultured Russula. RNAcentral describes it as "sequence contains ITS1". The stretch from base 1 to 105 matches the Rfam family "5.8S ribosomal RNA", at positions 50 to 154 of the family's 154-position model. Lineage: Eukaryota; Fungi; Basidiomycota; Agaricomycetes; Russulales; Russulaceae. The record is from RNAcentral.